This 67-nucleotide ribosomal RNA is filed under the name Trichuris ovis. RNAcentral's name for it is "partial 28S ribosomal RNA". It matches the Rfam family "Eukaryotic large subunit ribosomal RNA", at positions 1 to 68 of the family's 3401-position model. Lineage: Eukaryota; Metazoa; Nematoda; Enoplea; Trichinellida; Trichuridae. The record is from RNAcentral. RNAcentral also lists the same sequence under 2 other names.
GACCUCAGAUCAGACGAGGCUACCCGCCUAACUUAAGCAUAUUGUUAAGCGGAGGAAAAGAAACUAA